GAUGAACGCUGGCGGCGUGCUUAACACAUGCAGGUCGAACGGAAAGGCCCAAGCUUGCUUGGGUACUCGAGUGGCGAACGGGUGAGUAACACGUGGGUGAUCUGCCCUGCACUUCGGGAUAAGCCUGGGAAACUGGGUCUAAUACCGGAUAGGACGAUGGUUUGGAUGCCAUUGUGGAAAGUUUUUUCGGUGUGGGAUGAGCUCGCGGCCUAUCAGCUUGUUGGUGGGGUAAUGGCCUACCAAGGCGUCGACGGGUAGCCGGCCUGAGAGGGUGUACGGCCACAUUGGGACUGAGAUACGGCCCAGACUCCUACGGGAGGCAGCAGUGGGGAAUAUUGCACAAUGGGCGCAAGCCUGAUGCAGCGACGCCGCGUGGGGGAUGACGGCCUUCGGGUUGUAAACUCCUUUCGCUAGGGACGAAGCGUUUUUGUGACGGUACCUGGAGAAGAAGCACCGGCUAACUACGU
RNAcentral lists this ribosomal RNA (467 nucleotides) under uncultured bacterium. Its description in RNAcentral is "partial 16S ribosomal RNA". It matches the Rfam family "Bacterial small subunit ribosomal RNA", at positions 28 to 506 of the family's 1533-position model. The record is from RNAcentral.